RNAcentral lists this ribosomal RNA (479 nucleotides) under uncultured bacterium. Its description in RNAcentral is "partial 16S ribosomal RNA". It matches the Rfam family "Bacterial small subunit ribosomal RNA", at positions 28 to 506 of the family's 1533-position model. The record is from RNAcentral.
GAUGAACGCUAGCGGCAGGCCUAACACAUGCAAGUCGAGGGGGAGGUUACUUUCGGGUAACUGAGACCGGCGUACGGGUGCGUAACGCGUAUACAAUCUGCCUUUCACUGGGGGAUAGCCCGAAGAAAUUUGGAUUAAUACCCCAUAGUAUAGUAAUACGGCAUCGUGAUGCUAUUAAAGCUUAGGUGGUGAAAGAUGAGUAUGCGUUCUAUUAGCUAGUUGGAGAGGUAACGGCUCCCCAAGGCGAUGAUAGAUAGGGGUUCUGAGAGGGAUGUCCCCCACACUGGUACUGAGAUACGGACCAGACUCCUACGGGAGGCAGCAGUGAGGAAUAUUUGACAAUGGUCGGAAGACUGAUCCAGCCAUGCCGCGUGCAGGAUGAAGGUCUUAUGGAUUGUAAACUGCUUUUGUAAGGGAAGAAUAAGGGCUACGCGUAGUUUGAGGACGGUACCUUACGAAUAAGCAUCGGCGAACUCCGU